GCUUAGAGAGGGGUCAAUGUCCUAUCAGCUAGUUGGCAGGGUAAUGGCCUACCAAGGCUAAGACGGGUAGCCGGCCUGAGAGGGUGGUCGGCCACACUGGGACUGAGACACUGCCCAGACUCCUACGGGAGGCUGCAGUCGAGAAUCUUUCGCAAUGCCCGAAAGGGUGACGAAGCGACGCCGCGUGUGGGAAGAGGGCCUUCGGGUUGUAAACCACUGUCGGGAGUUAAGAAAUGUAAGGGUGUUAAUAGCAUCCUUGCUUGACUAAGGCUCCGGAGGAAGCCACGGCUAACUCUGUGCCAGCAGCCGCGGUAAUACAGAGGCGGCAAGCGUUGUUCGGAAUUAUUGGGCGUAAAGAGCACGUAGGCGGCUUUGUAAGUCAGUUGUGAAAGCCUUCUGCUUAACGGAAGAACAGCAUCUGAUACUGCAAGGCUAGAGUACGGAAGGG
This 448-nucleotide ribosomal RNA is filed under the name uncultured Planctomycetota bacterium. Its description in RNAcentral is "bacterial SSU rRNA". It matches the Rfam family "Bacterial small subunit ribosomal RNA", at positions 217 to 656 of the family's 1533-position model. The record is from RNAcentral. Lineage: Bacteria; Pseudomonadati; Planctomycetota.